Syzygium oleosum is the source of this 383-nucleotide long non-coding RNA. RefSeq lists it as uncharacterized. The record is from RefSeq and is a predicted model, not a curated record. The transcript has 2 exons. Lineage: Eukaryota; Viridiplantae; Streptophyta; Magnoliopsida; Myrtales; Myrtaceae.
CAUAUGGCUUGCAUAACGGAGAAAAAGUAUGUCCUGAUGGCUUGGAAAGUUGGAACAGCACUUUGUAUGACUAUACAUAUAUGAUUAUCUGGUGAAAUAAACAUUUACACAGCCCACAAGACACUAAAGAUGUGAUGCUUAUUUACAGGUUUUUUGUAGGAUCAUUCUUGCAGGUGGUAACUUUAGUGCAAGUGAUUUGCUACAUGAAGCACCAGGAUCGUGUUUCUCACUUUCGUCUUUCUGGAGCAAGGGAACGGACUUGAAGGUUUACCACUGAGUCACUCAGUGGAGGAGGAAUGCUUGCUAGAUGAACGCGUAUACACGUACUUUUGCUAUUGUAUAAGGCAUAUUGACUUCGACAUCAAUGAAAGGAAGAUUACUCA